UACGUAGGUGGCAAGCGUUGUCCGGAUUUAUUGGGCUUAAAGGGUGCGUAGGCGGUCUAUUAAGUCAGUGGUGAAAUACUCCAGCUUAACUGGAGGGGUGCCAUUGAUACUGAUGGACUUGAGUGAAGUCGAGGUAGGCGGAAUUGACGGUGUAGCGGUGAAAUGCUUAGAUAUCGUCAAGAACACCAAUAGUGAAGACAGCUUACUAGGCUUAUACUGACGCUGAGGCACGAAAGUGUGGGGAUCAAACAGG
RNAcentral lists this ribosomal RNA (253 nucleotides) under uncultured bacterium. RNAcentral's name for it is "partial 16S ribosomal RNA". It matches the Rfam family "Bacterial small subunit ribosomal RNA", at positions 524 to 776 of the family's 1533-position model. The record is from RNAcentral.